UAAGGAAUAUUGGUCAAUGGACGCAAGUCUGAACCAGCCAUGCCGCGUGAAGGAUGAAGGUCCUCUGGAUUGUAAACUUCUUUUAUCUGGGACGAAAACGGGAUUUUUAUCUCAAUUGACGGUACCAGAGGAAUAAGCACCGGCUAACUCCGUGCCAGCAGCCGCGGUAAUACGGAGGGUGCAAGCGUUAUCCGGAUUCACUGGGUUUAAAGGGUGCGUAGGUGGGCAGAUAAGUCAGUGGUGAAAUCUUCCGGCUUAACCGGGAAACUGCCGUUGAUACUAUUUGGCUUGAAUAUUGCGGAGGUAAGCGGAAUAUGUCAUGUAGCGGUGAAAUGCUUAGAUAUGACAUAGAACACCAAUUGCGAAGGCAGCUUACUACACAAUCAUUGACACUGAGGCACGAAAGCGUGGGUAGCGAACA
This 421-nucleotide ribosomal RNA is filed under the name uncultured bacterium. Its description in RNAcentral is "bacterial SSU rRNA". It matches the Rfam family "Bacterial small subunit ribosomal RNA", at positions 355 to 774 of the family's 1533-position model. The record is from RNAcentral.